Molecule: ribosomal RNA, 440 nt
Filed under: uncultured bacterium
Lineage: Bacteria
Description: partial 16S ribosomal RNA
Rfam family: Bacterial small subunit ribosomal RNA
Source: RNAcentral
CCUACGGGAGGCAGCAGUGGGGAAUAUUGCACAAUGGGGGAAACCCUGAUGCAGCGACGCCGCGUGAGUGAAGAAGUAUUUCGGUACGUAAAGCUCUAUCAGCAGGGAAGAAAAUGACGGUACCUGACUAAGAAGCCCCGGCUAACUACGUGCCAGCCGCCGCGGUAAUACGUAGGGAGCAAGCGUUAUCCGGAUUUACUGGGUGUAAAGGGAGCGUAGACGGCAGCGCAAGUCUGGAGUGAAAUCCCAUGGCUUAACCAUGGAACUGCUUUGGAAACUGUGCAGCUAGAGUGCAGGAGAGGUAAGCGGAAUUCCUAGUGUAGCGGUGAAAUGCGUAGAUAUUAGGAGGAACACCAGUGGCGAAGGCGGCUUACUGGACUGUAACUGACGUUGAGGCUCGAAAGCGUGGGGAGCAAACAGGAUUAGAUACCCUUGUAGUC